Molecule: ribosomal RNA, 520 nt
Filed under: uncultured bacterium
Lineage: Bacteria
Description: bacterial SSU rRNA
Rfam family: Bacterial small subunit ribosomal RNA
Source: RNAcentral
AGGACGAACGCUGGCGGCGUGCCUAAUACAUGCAAGUCGAACGGUCUUUCUAUGGAAGCUUGCUUCCACUGAGAAGAUAGUGGCGAACGGGUGAGUAACACGUGGGUAACCUGCCCAUAAGAGGGGGAUAACAUCCGGAAACGGGUGCUAAUACCGCAUAGUUUUCUUGAUCGCAUGAUUGAGAAAGGAAAGACGGCCUUUGUGCUGUCGCUUAUGGAUGGACCCGCGGCGUAUUAGUUAGUUGGUGAGGUAACGGCUCACCAAGACGAUGAUACGUAGCCGACCUGAGAGGGUGAUCGGCCACAUUGGGACUGAGACACGGCCCAAACUCCUACGGGAGGCAGCAGUAGGGAAUCUUCCGCAAUGGACGAAAGUCUGACGGAGCAACGCCGCGUGAGUGAAGAAAAGGUUUUCGGAUCGUAAAACUCUGUUGUCAGAGAAGAACAAGUUGGAGAGUAACUGCUCCAGCCUUGACGGUAUCUGACCAGAAAGCCACGGCUAACUACGUGCCAGCAGCCGC